CAGCCUGCUUAUCAGAUACUGCUUAAAAAAUCAUUAAUGAAUAAUAUCGUAUUUUUGUUGUCGUGAUAAUAAAGCGUUUAGCAAUACACGAAUAAUAAUAACAAACGCACGGGAAAAUUUUCGCCCGUGCCAACGUUGUGCUAGACGAGAACGGAAAACGUUCUUACGACGUCACUGCGGCCGUCUCGAUGCUCAUAAAUCGUAUAUUUUCCACCGUCAAUUUCCAUAAGGUCAUCGCACAAACGAGCAUAGCUCACGGUUAUUGUUAUUAUCGACGUCAAAGUUAUUAAAGCUCAAUUUUUUCGAAAACGAUUCGUCAAACGCUGUUUGGGCCGAUCAACGUGUAUCAGUCAAAGAAUUGCGAACAAAUGGUGGCGGUACUUCCUGCCUAAAAAGAACAUCCUGUUGAGGCAUAUAAUUAAGGAGUCAUGGAGUUUCAAG
Molecule: long non-coding RNA, 441 nt
Organism: Myzus persicae (green peach aphid)
Lineage: Eukaryota; Metazoa; Arthropoda; Insecta; Hemiptera; Aphididae
Exons: 3
Source: RefSeq, a predicted model, not a curated record